Molecule: ribosomal RNA, 253 nt
Filed under: uncultured bacterium
Lineage: Bacteria
Description: partial 16S ribosomal RNA
Rfam family: Bacterial small subunit ribosomal RNA
Source: RNAcentral
UACGUAGGGUGCAAGCGUUGUCCGGAAUUAUUGGGCGUAAAGAGCUCGUAGGCGGUUUGUCGCGUCUGCUGUGAAAACCCGAGGCUCAACCCCGUGACUGCAUCCGAUACUGUCAGGCUAGAGGUAGGUAGGGGAGAUCGGAAUUCCUGGUGUAGCGGUGAAAUGCGCAGAUAUCAGGAGGAACACCGGUGGCGAAGGCGGAUCUCUGGGCCUUGCCUGACGCUCAGGCGCGAAAGCUAGGGGAGCGAACAGG